GGCGAACGGGUGAGUAUCACGUGGGCAACUGCCCUCGGCACCGGGAUAGCCCGGGGAAACCCGGAUUAAUACCGGACAGCCUCCGGAGCCUUCGGGCGCCGGAGAAAAGGUGGCUUCGGCUUCCGGCUGAGGAGGGGCCUGCGGCGGAUUAGCUUGUUGGUGAGGUAACGGCUCACCAAGGCGACGAUCCGUAGCUGGUCUGAGAGGACGAUCAGCCACACUGGGACUGAGACACGGCCCAGACUCCUACGGGAGGCAGCAGUGGGGAAUCUUGCGCAAUGGGCGAAAGCCUGACGCAGCGACGCCGCGUGCGGGAAGAAGGCCUUCGGGUUGUAAACCGCUUUCAGGAGGGACGAAGCCACUCGGGUUAAUAGCCCAGAGGGUGACGGUACCUCCAGAAGAAGCCCCGGCUAACUACGUGCCAGCCGCCGCGG
RNAcentral lists this ribosomal RNA (434 nucleotides) under uncultured bacterium. RNAcentral's name for it is "bacterial SSU rRNA". It matches the Rfam family "Bacterial small subunit ribosomal RNA", at positions 97 to 520 of the family's 1533-position model. The record is from RNAcentral.